GGGCUUGUAGCUCAGCUUGGACAGAGCGAUCGGCUUCUAACCGAUCGGUCGAGGGUUCAAAUCCCUCCGAGUCCG
RNAcentral lists this transfer RNA (75 nucleotides) under Candidatus Nanosalina sp. J07AB43. It matches the Rfam family "tRNA". Rfam says of the family: Transfer RNA (tRNA) molecules are approximately 80 nucleotides in length. Their secondary structure includes four short double-helical elements and three loops (D, anti-codon, and T loops). Further hydrogen bonds mediate the characteristic L-shaped molecular structure. tRNAs have two regions of fundamental functional importance: the anti-codon, which is responsible for specific mRNA codon recognition, and the 3' end, to which the tRNAs corresponding amino acid is attached (by aminoacyl-tRNA synthetases). tRNAs cope with the degeneracy of the genetic code in two manners: having more than one tRNA (with a specific anti-codon) for a particular amino acid; and 'wobble' base-pairing, i.e. permitting non-standard base-pairing at the 3rd anti-codon position. The record is from Rfam by way of RNAcentral. Lineage: Archaea; Methanobacteriati; Methanobacteriota; Candidatus Nanohaloarchaea.